GGGGCAGUAGCUCAGUAGUAGAGCUCCCACUUCGUAUGCGGGAAAACCUGGGUACGAUUCCCGGAUGCAUCC
RNAcentral lists this transfer RNA (72 nucleotides) under Toxocara canis (dog roundworm). It matches the Rfam family "tRNA". Rfam says of the family: Transfer RNA (tRNA) molecules are approximately 80 nucleotides in length. Their secondary structure includes four short double-helical elements and three loops (D, anti-codon, and T loops). Lineage: Eukaryota; Metazoa; Nematoda; Chromadorea; Rhabditida; Toxocaridae. The record is from Rfam by way of RNAcentral.